AAAAGUGAAAGACGGUCUUGCUGUCACUUAUAGAUGGAUCCGCGCUGCAUUAGCUAGUUGGUAAGGUAACGGCUUACCAAGGCAACGAUGCAUAGCCGACCUGAGAGGGUGAUCGGCCACACUGGAACUGAGACACGGUCCAGACUCCUACGGGAGGCAGCAGUAGGGAAUCUUCCGCAAUGGGCGAAAGCCUGACGGAGCAACGCCGCGUGAGUGAUGAAGGUCUUCGGAUCGUAAAACUCUGUUAUUAGGGAAGAACAUAUGUGUAAGUAACUGUGCACAUCUUGACGGUACCUAAUCAGAAAGCCACGGCUAACUACGUGCCAGCAGCCGCGGUAAUACGUAGGUGGCAAGCGUUAUCCGGAAUUAUUGGGCGUAAAGCGCGCGUAGGCGGUUUUUUAAGUCUGAUGUGAAAGCCCACGGCUCAACCGUGGAGGGUCAUUGGAAACUGGAAAACUUGAGUGCAGAAGAGGAAAGUGGAAUUCCAUGUGUAGCGGUGAAAUGCGCAGAGAUAUGGAGGAACACCAGUGGCGAAGGCGACUUUCUGGUCUGUAACUGACGCUGAUGUGCGAAAGCGUGGGGAUCAAACAGGAUUAGAUACCCUGGUAGUCCACGCCGUAAACGAUGAGUGCUAAGUGUUAGGGGGUUUCCGCCCCUUAGUGCUGCAGCUAACGCAUUAAGCACUCCGCCUGGGGAGUACGACCGCAAGGUUGAAACU
RNAcentral lists this ribosomal RNA (718 nucleotides) under Staphylococcus aureus. RNAcentral's name for it is "bacterial SSU rRNA". It matches the Rfam family "Bacterial small subunit ribosomal RNA", at positions 196 to 901 of the family's 1533-position model. The record is from RNAcentral. Lineage: Bacteria; Bacillati; Bacillota; Bacilli; Caryophanales; Staphylococcaceae.